CAUCUCCGGGGGUAGAGCACUGUUUCGGCAAGGGGGUCAUCCCGACUUACCAACCCGAUGCAAACUGCGAAUACCGGAGAAUGUUAUCACGGGAGACACACGGCGGGUGCUAACGUCCGUCGUGAAGAGGGAAACAACCCAGACCGCCAGCUAAGGUCCCAAAGUCAUGGUUAAGUGGGAAACGAUGUGGGAAGGCCCAGACAGCCAGGAUGUUGGCUUAGAAGCAGCCAUCAUUUAAAGAAAGCGUAAUAGCUCACUGGUCGAGUCGGCCUGCGCGGAAGAUGUAACGGGGCUAAACCAUGCACCGAAGCUGCGGCAGCGACGCUUAUGCGUUGUUGGGUAGGGGAGCGUUCUGUAAGCCUGCGAAGGUGUGCUGUGAGGCAUGCUGGAGGUAUCAGAAGUGCGAAUGCUGACAUAAGUAACGAUAAAGCGGGUGAAAAGCCCGCUCGCCGGAAGACCAAGGGUUCCUGUCCAACGUUAAUCGGGGCAGGGUGAGUCGACCCCUAAGGCGAGGCCGAAAGGCGUAGUCGAUGGGAAACAGGUUAAUAUUCCUGUACUUGGUGUUACUGCGAAGGGGGGACGGAGAAGGCUAUGUUGGCCGGGCGACGGUUGUCCCGGUUUAAGCGUGUAGGCUGGUUUUCCAGGCAAAUCCGGAAAAUCAAGGCUGAGGCGUGAUGACGAGGCACUACGGUGCUGAAGCAACAAAUGCCCUGCUUCCAGGAAAAGCCUCUAAGCAUCAGGUAACAUCAAAUCGUACCCCAAACCGACACAGGUGGUCAGGUAGAGAAUACCAAGGCGCUUGAGAGAACUCGGGUGAAGGAACUAGGCAAAAUGGUGCCGUAACUUCGGGAGAAGGCACGCUGAUAUGUAGGUGAAGUCCCUCGCGGAUGGAGCUGAAAUCAGUCGAAGAUACCAGCUGGCUGCAACUGUUUAUUAAAAACACAGCACUGUGCAAACACGAAAGUGGACGUAUACGGUGUGACGCCUGCCCGGUGCCGGAAGGUUAAUUGAUGGGGUCAGCGCAAGCGAAGCUCUUGAUCGAAGCCCCGGUAAACGGCGGCCGUAACUAUAACGGUCCUAAGGUAGCGAAAUUCCUUGUCGGGUAAGUUCCGACCUGCACGAAUGGCGUAAUGAUGGCCAGGCUGUCUCCACCCGAGACUCAGUGAAAUUGAACUCGCUGUGAAGAUGCAGUGUACCCGCGGCAAGACGGAAAGACCCCGUGAACCUUUACUAUAGCUUGACACUGAACAUUGAGCCUUGAUGUGUAGGAUAGGUGGGAGGCUUUGAAGUGUGGACGCCAGUCUGCAUGGAGCCGACCUUGAAAUACCACCCUUUAAUGUUUGAUGUUCUAACGUUGACCCGUAAUCCGGGUUGCGGACAGUGUCUGGUGGGUAGUUUGACUGGGGCGGUCUCCUCCUAAAGAGUAACGGAGGAGCACGAAGGUUGGCUAAUCCUGGUCGGACAUCAGGAGGUUAGUGCAAUGGCAUAAGCCAGCUUGACUGCGAGCGUGACGGCGCGAGCAGGUGCGAAAGCAGGUCAUAGUGAUCCGGUGGUUCUGAAUGGAAGGGCCAUCGCUCAACGGAUAAAAGGUACUCCGGGGAUAACAGGCUGAUACCGCCCAAGAGUUCAUAUCGACGGCGGUGUUUGGCACCUCGAUGUCGGCUCAUCACAUCCUGGGGCUGAAGUAGGUCCCAAGGGUAUGGCUGUUCGCCAUUUAAAGUGGUACGCGAGCUGGGUUUAGAACGUCGUGAGACAGUUCGGUCCCUA
This 1767-nucleotide ribosomal RNA is filed under the name Escherichia coli. RNAcentral describes it as "partial 23S ribosomal RNA". It matches the Rfam family "Bacterial large subunit ribosomal RNA", at positions 891 to 2640 of the family's 2925-position model. The record is from RNAcentral. Lineage: Bacteria; Pseudomonadati; Pseudomonadota; Gammaproteobacteria; Enterobacterales; Enterobacteriaceae.